GACAGAGGAUGCAAGCGUUAUCCGGAAUGAUUGGGCGUAAAGCGUCUGUAGGUGGUUCUCGAAGUCUACUGUCAAAUCCCAGGGCUCAACCUUGGACAGGCAGUGGAGAACUCGGGGACUCGAGUACGGUAGGGGUAGAGGGAAUUCCCGGUGAAGCAGUGAAAUGCACAGAGAUCGGGGAAAGAACACCAGUGGCGAAGGCGGCUCACUGGACUGGUAUUGACGCUGAUGUGCGAAAGCGUGGGGAGCAAACAGGG
This 257-nucleotide ribosomal RNA is filed under the name uncultured bacterium. RNAcentral describes it as "partial 16S ribosomal RNA". It matches the Rfam family "Bacterial small subunit ribosomal RNA", at positions 524 to 777 of the family's 1533-position model. The record is from RNAcentral.